AAAAGUCGUAACAAGGUUUCCGUAGGUGAACCUGCGGAAGGAUCAUUACUUUACGUGGGGGGGAGCAAUCCCCCUAAACGUCCACCCUCCCUUUACGAGUACCUCUUGUUCUUCCUCGGCAGGGCAACCUGCCGGUGGAACUUCAACGAAAACCUUUUUGCAUCUUACAGUACAACGUUCUGAUAAACCACAAAUCGUUUACAACUUUCAACAAUGGAUCUCUUGGCUCUG
This 231-nucleotide unclassified non-coding RNA is filed under the name fungal sp. RNAcentral's name for it is "partial internal transcribed spacer region". The stretch from base 1 to 48 matches the Rfam family "Eukaryotic small subunit ribosomal RNA", at positions 1784 to 1831 of the family's 1831-position model. Lineage: Eukaryota; Fungi. The record is from RNAcentral.